RNAcentral lists this ribosomal RNA (1349 nucleotides) under Salmonella enterica. Its description in RNAcentral is "partial 23S ribosomal RNA". It matches the Rfam family "Bacterial large subunit ribosomal RNA", at positions 568 to 1788 of the family's 2925-position model. Lineage: Bacteria; Pseudomonadati; Pseudomonadota; Gammaproteobacteria; Enterobacterales; Enterobacteriaceae. The record is from RNAcentral.
AACGGAGCGCAAGCGACGUUCAACCGCAAAAGAAGCAGAGGGGGCUUAGUGGUGGGGUGACUGCGUACCUUUUGUAUAAUGGGUCAGCGACUUAUAUUCUGUAGCAAGGUUAACCGUAUAGGGGAGCCGGAGGGAAACCGAGUCUUAAUUGGGCGUUAAGUUGCAGGGUAUAGACCCGAAACCCGGUGAUCUAGCCAUGGGCAGGUUGAAGGUUGGGUAACACUAACUGGAGGACCGAACCGACUAAUGUUGAAAAAUUAGCGGAUGACCUGUGGCUGGGGGUGAAAGGCCAAUCAAACCGGGAGAUAGCUGGUUCUCCCCGAAAGCUAUUUAGGUAGCGCCUCGUGAAUUCAUCUCCGGGGGUAGAGCACUGUUUCGGCUAGGGGGCCAUCCCGGCUUACCAACCCGAUGCAAACUGCGAAUACCGGAGAAUGUUAUCACGGGAGACACACGGCGGGUGCUAACGUCCGUCGUGAAGAGGGAAACAACCCAGACCGCCAGCUAAGGUCCCAAAGUCAUGGUUAAGUGGGAAACGAUGUGGGAAGGCCCAGACAGCCAGGAUGUUGGCUUAGAAGCAGCCAUCAUUUAAAGAAAGCGUAAUAGCUCACUGGUCGAGUCGGCCUGCGCGGAAGAUGUAACGGGGCUAAACCAUGCACCGAAGCUGCGGCAGCGAACGUAUCACUUAAAGCGAUUCAGCGGGUUACGAUUGACGGAGCGAAGCGACGUCAAAGCGUAUACAAAGUCGAGUCGGUUUAAGGAUACGUUCGUUGGGUAGGGGAGCGUUCUGUAAGCCUGUGAAGGUGGCCUGUGAGGGUUGCUGGAGGUAUCAGAAGUGCGAAUGCUGACAUAAGUAACGAUAAAGCGGGUGAAAAGCCCGCUCGCCGGAAGACCAAGGGUUCCUGUCCAACGUUAAUCGGGGCAGGGUGAGUCGACCCCUAAGGCGAGGCCGAAAGGCGUAGUCGAUGGGAAACGGGUUAAUAUUCCCGUACUUGGUGUUACUGCGAAGGGGGGACGGAGAAGGCUAUGUUGGCCGGGCGACGGUUGUCCCGGUUUAAGCGUGUAGGUGUGUGUUCCAGGUAAAUCCGGUUCACUUUAACACUGAGGCGUGAUGACGAGGCACUACGGUGCUGAAGCAACAAAUGCCCUGCUUCCAGGAAAAGCCUCUAAGCAUCAGGUAACACGAAAUCGUACCCCAAACCGACACAGGUGGUCAGGUAGAGAAUACCAAGGCGCUUGAGAGAACUCGGGUGAAGGAACUAGGCAAAAUGGUGCCGUAACUUCGGGAGAAGGCACGCUGACACGUAGGUGAAGUGAUUUACUCAUGGAGCUGAAGUCAGUCGAAGAUACCA